Molecule: non-coding RNA, 21 nt
Organism: Caenorhabditis elegans
Lineage: Eukaryota; Metazoa; Nematoda; Chromadorea; Rhabditida; Rhabditidae
Source: Ensembl
UAGUCUAUGCUUUGUACCCAA